Molecule: long non-coding RNA, 550 nt
Filed under: Sus scrofa (pig)
Lineage: Eukaryota; Metazoa; Chordata; Mammalia; Artiodactyla; Suidae
Description: lncRNA (ENSSSCG00070013670.1)
Source: RNAcentral
AAACACCUUCAGAGGAAAACUGUGUAUUUUCCAUGAAAUCGUUGCCUAGGAAACAAUGAUUUCAUCUUAUUUUUGGCAUAGAACUGUAGGUGUAUAAAAGCUCUGAAUCAGUCCGCACACAAGAUGAGUGCUGAUAUUUAUGAAGCCAGCAAGACAGUAUGGGUGCUUCUAAUUUGUGGUCUCCAGAGAGGAAAUUUUGUCUAAGAAUUUUUUUUUGAUAGAUCAGUUGGACAAGAACAUCCCUUCAAGUUACUAGAAGAAGAAUGGACCUUUUUGAUGUCACUGUUAUUCCAGAAAGAAUCUCUGGCAUGCUCCCCACCAGCUAACGUCAGAAAGAAAAGGGGGCCCUUGCAAAAAUCACUCCAGCAAAAAAAAGUUAGAGACCAAGACAUGACUGCAAGCACAAAGGUGGACAUAUGCCCAAGACUUGCCAAUCAUUUUAUCCCCUGAACCUAGACAUUAUGGUCAUCUGGUCAUAAAAUGUGUUCAAAGAUAAAUGCCUCCAUUGCCUUCCAAUAAAUCCCUCUUCUACCUAUUUUAUUAAUUUAUU